GUGAGGAAUAUUGGACAAUGGGCGCAAGCCUGAUCCAGCCAUGUCGCGUGCAGGAAGACGCAUCUAUGGUGUGUAAACUGCUUUUGUACGGGAAGAAACACUCCCUCGUGAGGGAGCUUGACGGUACCGUAAGAAUAAGGAUCGGCUAACUCCGUGCCAGCAGCCGCGGUAAUACGGAGGAUCCAAGCGUUAUCCGGAAUCAUUGGGUUUAAAGGGUCCGUAGGCGGUUUAAUAAGUCAGUGGUGAAAGCCCAUCGCUCAACGAUGGAACGGCCAUUGAUACUGUUAGACUUGAAUUACAAGGAAGUAACUAGAAUAUGUAGUGUAGCGGUGAAAUGCUUAGAUAUUACAUGGAAUACCAAUUGCGAAGGCAGGUUACUACUUGUGGAUUGACGCUGAUGGACGAAAGCGUGGGGAGCGAACAGGAUUAGAUACCCGAGUAGUCC
RNAcentral lists this ribosomal RNA (445 nucleotides) under uncultured bacterium. RNAcentral's name for it is "bacterial SSU rRNA". It matches the Rfam family "Bacterial small subunit ribosomal RNA", at positions 354 to 796 of the family's 1533-position model. The record is from RNAcentral.